GCGGUAUUGAUUUUUAAACCUAGAUGACGUUAUGUUCGCUUAAUGUAAUUGUUGAUACAAAAACCACAGAUGGGAAACUGAUAGCAGAACAAGAUGUCGAUCUUAAGUAAUAAGUCGAAUCUACUCGGUACAAAGCAAUCCUGUGGCGACCAACCACUGGCAGCGAGCAGCCAAAUUAUCUGCAAAAGUAACAGUUUAAGAAUGAAUUACCAAGCCGACGAAGCAACUCCGGAAAGACUAAUAAAAGAUGCCUAUUGACAAUGCUGUCGUAUCGAUCAGAUUUUUGUAAAAUUAACCAUUGAAAUUUAAGUCUUCGAGUCAUUGUUCACAAAUCGUUGCAUGGGUUUAUACCGGUUAUGUCUAUUAUGUACAGUGCAUGUAGAUAGACGGCCCUGAUGAAUUUUACACAGAACAUUAGCCUACGGGAAGGAUGUUGAAUGUAACUUUUGUUUACAGACGUGGAUUUGUAUUGAUUAAGGUGAUAAGUCUUUGAAAUAUGUUUAUUAUGUGUCUUGUUUCCCGAUGAAACUGAAAGGUAAUUGUUUUUUUAAUCAAUGUGUGUUUUGUUAAUCAGCAGAAAAACCCUUGGUGAAUAUACACGUGUGUGCGUAUUGCUCGGAAACGGUUUAAUUAAAAUGUAAAAAUAUUAUAGAUGGUAGUGACAAUGACGAAUAAUACAACAUCAGGACAAUUAAUUUUAACAGCUUUAAGACCAAAUUGUGAAACUAUUCCAGCAAUAUUAACUGGAGAUAAUACAAAUUCUACGUCUUCUGAA
Long non-coding RNA from Patella vulgata (common limpet), 775 nucleotides. RefSeq lists it as uncharacterized. Lineage: Eukaryota; Metazoa; Mollusca; Gastropoda; Patellidae. The record is from RefSeq and is a predicted model, not a curated record. The transcript is spliced from 3 exons.